GAAUAUUGCACAAUGGGCGCAAGCCUGAUGCAGCAACGCCGCGUGAGGGAUGACGGCCUUCGGGUUGUAAACCUCUUUUAGUAGGGAAGAAGCGUAAGUGACGGUACAUGCAGAAAAAGCACAGGAUAACUACGAGCAAGCAGCCGCGGUAAUACGUAGGGAGCAAGCGUUGUCCGAAAUUAUGGGGCGUAACGAGCUCGUAGGCGGCUUGUCGCGUCUGCUGUGACAACCCGAGGCUCAACCUCGGGCCUGCAGUGGGUACGGGCAAGCUAGAGUGCGGUAGGGGAGAUUGGAAUUCCUGGUGUAGCGGUGGAAUGCGCAGAUAUCAGGAGGAACACCGAUGGCGAAGGCAGAUCUCUGGGCCGUAACUGACGCUGAGGAGCGAAAGCAUGGGGAGCGUAC
RNAcentral lists this ribosomal RNA (402 nucleotides) under uncultured bacterium. RNAcentral describes it as "partial 16S ribosomal RNA". It matches the Rfam family "Bacterial small subunit ribosomal RNA", at positions 359 to 773 of the family's 1533-position model. The record is from RNAcentral.